This 238-nucleotide unclassified non-coding RNA is filed under the name Glomeraceae sp. RNAcentral's name for it is "partial contains 5.8S ribosomal RNA and internal transcribed spacer 2". The stretch from base 1 to 65 matches the Rfam family "5.8S ribosomal RNA", at positions 84 to 154 of the family's 154-position model. Lineage: Eukaryota; Fungi; Glomeromycota; Glomeromycetes; Glomerales; Glomeraceae. The record is from RNAcentral.
GUGAAUCAUCAAAUUUUUGAACGCAAAUUGCACUCUCCUCGGAGAGUAUGCCUGUUUGAGGGUCAGCCUAUAAAAAAUCGACAUCGUUGCUGUUUCGCGGUGGCGUUCGUCGGAAAUUGGGUCAUCUUAAAUCUUUUGGUUUUAAGCGACUUAAAAUUUUCUUUUUGGUUCCAUGAACGUUUCUAAGAUUUUUUUUUUUACACUUUUAAGGUAUGGAUUUUUUUUAACGUUUACCUCC